This 629-nucleotide ribosomal RNA is filed under the name Candona orbiculata. Its description in RNAcentral is "LSU rRNA". It matches the Rfam family "Eukaryotic large subunit ribosomal RNA", at positions 1393 to 1860 of the family's 3401-position model. Lineage: Eukaryota; Metazoa; Arthropoda; Ostracoda; Podocopida; Candonidae. The record is from RNAcentral.
GAUGGUAAGCGUUGAAGGGUCUGGGUGUAAACCUGCCUGGAGCUGCCAUCGGCACAGAUCUUGGUGGUAGUAGCAAAUACUCAAGUGAGAUCCUUGAGGGCUGACGUGGAGAAGGGUUCCAUGUGAACAGCAAUUGCACAUGGGUGAAUCGUUCCUAAACCAAAGGCGAAAGCCACGCUCAUAAACUUGUGGCCACAUGAAUUUAUUAAGGGGAAUUUAUAUCAAUCAUGCCAGAAACAGCAACGAAUGGAUAGGCUAUCCUCAAGUGCUAGUGGAAGCAGAUAAUGAUUGAUCAAUAUUUCCUCUUAUUUUCGAGUGAGCCUGCAAGGAGUUUGGCGAAAGGGAAUCCGGUACUCAUUCCGGAACCUGGACAUGAGGAGUAGUGUUGCUAUAUGCAUCACAUAGCCGCAAGGCAUUUACCAUCCUGGAGAAUCCAACCAGAGAGCCGGGAAGAGUUGUCUUUUCUGCUUAAGGGGAAGAGGGCCUUGUGAACUGGGUCGGUCAGAGAGAGGGUCUUUUCCCCGAAUAGCACCGCGGUUCUUGCGGAGUCCAGCUCCUCUGGUAUGGAACUUGAAAAUCCAGGGGUAAGAUGAAAUACCUUCAUGCCAGUUCGUACCCAUAUCCGCAUC